RNAcentral lists this ribosomal RNA (253 nucleotides) under uncultured bacterium. RNAcentral describes it as "partial 16S ribosomal RNA". It matches the Rfam family "Bacterial small subunit ribosomal RNA", at positions 524 to 776 of the family's 1533-position model. The record is from RNAcentral.
UACGGGGGGGGUAAGCGUUGUUCGGAAUUACUGGGCGUAAAGGGCUCGUAGGCGGCCAACUAAGUCGGACGUGAAAUCCCUCAGCUUAACUGGGGAACUGCGUCCGAUACUGGAUGGCUUGGAUUUGGGAGAGGGAUGCGGAAUUCCAGGUGUAGCGGUGAAAUGCGUAGAUAUCUGGAGGAACACCGGUGGCGAAGGCGGCAUCCUGGACCAACAUUGACGCUGAGGAGCGAAAGCUAGGGGAGCAAACAGG